Non-coding RNA from Anas platyrhynchos (mallard), 1022 nucleotides. Lineage: Eukaryota; Metazoa; Chordata; Aves; Anseriformes; Anatidae. The record is from RefSeq and is a predicted model, not a curated record.
AGUUGGCAGAAUUCUUUGCAGAACAAUUGUUGUAGAUGCUGCUGGAAUUCUGUUCAAAUAUUGUGAAAGGACUGCUUUGAAGGUUUUGUUGCUCUUCUAAACAGGAGAGGAAAAUAUACUUAGUUAAAGCUCUGGACCUGUGCAUAAAAAAGAAGGUGAGUGUCAUUAUUCCUGUUUCACAGAUCAAGAACUGAAGUGUAGGGAAGAGAGCUUGGUUUGCCCAAGAUCAUGCAGCAUGGAGAAUCAGAGGAAAUGGUAGAACCAGGAGAAGAAUGUUCCUUUUUUACUCCCAAGAAACAUCCAGUCCAUUGGAGAGUAAGGCUUCUUGGUGGCCUUGCUGUACUCAGGUUGCAUUUUCAAGGACACUGUCUACAGCUCAGCAGUGACCUGGAACAAAUUCUCCAGCAUGAGGGGAAAAGAAUGUUGCCCGAAUGCCUUCCUAAUGAGAGCAAAACAGAGGGAACCUGAGAUAAAUUCAGAACCUGAACUACAAAGCAGGAGAACCAACAGGGAAAGUGAAGCAACGGGAACUUGGCAAAAGGUGGCAGAAACCUUCCCCCAGUGCAUUUGCUACACAAAGCUGUUGAAAUAUUGCUCCCUUUCUGGUGGUAAUGCAGCAGCCUUUUUAAUGAUGGUUGCUGCAGAUAAUGUGGCAGCUGUAAUGGAAUAUAACCCAGGCAGUGAACCAGAGAGAGCUCCAGACUUGCUGGAGACUAGGAGAGACAGGAUAAGCACCAGAAAUGACUGUGAGGGUAAGUGGCCAGCUGAAAAGAGCUGAAGGACAUCCACUAAUUAGACAGGUAGAAAUUCAUAACGCAAAAUGGAAGUAAAUAAUGGACCCCAAAACAUUGUAAGAAAUCAUUCCUAAUGAAACUUACCAGGCCCCCAGGAAGUUUUGUGAAUCGGAGUGUUCAGUGUCAAUUAAUUUAAGGAACAAUGUAAUAUGUUAUGACACAGAAGCCACCGACAAAUUUUGAAAUAAUUGGGGUUAUAUCAACCAAUAAACAUUUUUUGGGAGGAAA